ACUUGUCCUUCACCUUGAUUUGCCCCAUCAUGUUCGGAUGAUUUUCCCUCUAAACAGAUUUGUCUUAGGACACAAGCGAGCGCUACACCCACCACAAUCAAGCCUAUAAUAACAUAAAUGAUUGGCAAUGGAAUAUGCAACAUAUUGGAAUUUCAACUAGAAAGAAGACAAUAUUUUAUUUUGUGUGACGAUGGAAUGCAUAGAGGAGGGAACAAGAGACCCCUAUUUAUAGUUUACAACAAGUAUUGAAUUCUUGGAAAGAAAUAAAAGACGAAGUAGGAAGAACUAGGUAAUUUUUCCUUAUUACUAACGAAAAAAAAUAACCAUGUAGUUGUGGU
Molecule: long non-coding RNA, 338 nt
Filed under: Capsicum annuum
Lineage: Eukaryota; Viridiplantae; Streptophyta; Magnoliopsida; Solanales; Solanaceae
Description: long non-coding RNA (CANN_LNC001831)
Source: RNAcentral